GAUGAACGCUGGCGGCGUGCCUAAUACAUGCAAGUCGAGCGAACGGACGAGAAGCUUGCUUUUCUGAUGUUAGCGGCGGACGGGUGAGUAACACGUGGAUAACCUACCUAUAAGACUGGGAUAACUUCCGGAAACCGGAGCUAAUACCGGAUAAUAUUUUGAACCGCAUGGUUCAAAAGUGAAAGACGGUCUUGCUGUCACUUAUAGAUGGAUCCGCGCUGCAUUAGCUAGUUGGUAAGGUAACGGCUUACCAAGGCAACGAUGCAUAGCCGACCUGAGAGGGUGAUCGGCCACACUGGAACUGAGACACGGUCCAGACUCCUACGGGAGGCAGCAGUAGGGAAUCUUCCGCAAUGGGCGAAAGCCUGACGGAGCAACGCCGCGUGAGUGAUGAAGGUCUUCGGAUCGUAAAACUCUGUUAUUAGGGAAGAACAUAUGUGUAAGUAACUGUGCACAUCUUGACGGUACCUAAUCAGAAAGCCACGGCUAACUACGUG
This 497-nucleotide ribosomal RNA is filed under the name uncultured bacterium. RNAcentral describes it as "partial 16S ribosomal RNA". It matches the Rfam family "Bacterial small subunit ribosomal RNA", at positions 28 to 507 of the family's 1533-position model. The record is from RNAcentral.